CCUACGGGGGGCAGCAGUGGGGAAUAUUGGACAAUGGGCGAAAGCCUGAUCCAGCCAUGCCGCGUGUGUGAAGAAGGCCUUCGGGUUGUAAAGCACUUUCAGUGGGGAAGAAAGCCUUGGGGCUAAUACCCUCGAGGAAGGACAUCACCCACAGAAGAAGCACCGGCUAACUCCGUGCCAGCAGCCGCGGUAAUACGGAGGGUGCGAGCGUUAAUCGGAAUUACUGGGCGUAAAGCGCGCGUAGGCGGUCUGAUAAGCCGGUUGUGAAAGCCCCGGGCUCAACCUGGGAACGGCAUCCGGAACUGUCAGGCUAGAGUGCAGGAGAGGAAGGUAGAAUUCCCGGUGUAGCGGUGAAAUGCGUAGAGAUCGGGAGGAAUACCAGUGGCGAAGGCGGCCUUCUGGACUGACACUGACGCUGAGGUGCGAAAGCGUGGAUAGCAAACAGGAUUAGAUACCCCAGUAGUC
RNAcentral lists this ribosomal RNA (465 nucleotides) under Vreelandella stevensii. Its description in RNAcentral is "partial 16S ribosomal RNA". It matches the Rfam family "Bacterial small subunit ribosomal RNA", at positions 338 to 795 of the family's 1533-position model. The record is from RNAcentral. Lineage: Bacteria; Pseudomonadati; Pseudomonadota; Gammaproteobacteria; Oceanospirillales; Halomonadaceae.